RNAcentral lists this ribosomal RNA (220 nucleotides) under uncultured bacterium. RNAcentral's name for it is "partial 16S ribosomal RNA". It matches the Rfam family "Bacterial small subunit ribosomal RNA", at positions 524 to 742 of the family's 1533-position model. The record is from RNAcentral.
GACAGAGGGUGCAAACGUUGUUCGGAAUUACUGGGCGUAAAGCGCGUGUAGGCUGCUCAGAAAGUCGGAUGUGAAAGCCCUGGGCUUAACCUAGGAAGUGCAUUCGAAACUUUCUGAGCUGGAGUCCUGGAGAGGAAGGCGGAAUUCUCGGUGUAGAGGUGAAAUUCGUAGAUAUCGAGAGGAACACCGGUGGCGAAGGCGGCCUUCUGGACAGUGACUG